This is a long non-coding RNA of Lagopus leucura (white-tailed ptarmigan), 691 nucleotides long. RefSeq lists it as uncharacterized. NCBI's taxonomy places the organism in Eukaryota, Metazoa, Chordata, Aves, Galliformes, Phasianidae. The transcript is spliced from 3 exons. The record is from RefSeq and is a predicted model, not a curated record.
ACUCAACGUGUGGAAAUCUAAGUCUCUGAGGAUUCCUGUGUGACCAAAGGCUGCAUUUCUCUUCUCAAAGAGUCAGCUUUUGAGCGUUCCUUUGUGGAGCUGAAGGAACAUAAAGUCAUCACAGAGAGCCUCAUUAAAAUGUUUAAUGAGAGCAGUGCAAUCCCACAGCCCAAGGAUCAGUGUUUAUAGCAAGGAUUGCCCAGAAGCUUCAUCCCACCAGAGCCAGGUAUCACCAGGAGAACCCAUUCACUGAGGGGCACGCUGACUGCUGUCACCAACAGCCAGACAAGCACAGGAGACAAAGCAACCCAGGAGAACUACAGCUGGGUAACAACACCAGUGCAAAUUUCUCAGCCCAGAACAAGCCAAGAUUCAUUUCUGGCCAAAAUUCCUGCACUAAUGCUAACCUCCAUCUGAUUAAAUGAUUUUCCUGAGAUCCUAAUGCAAGUCAUUGUCACAGAAAGGACUCGCAUGGGCAUGCUGCAGCCCUGGUUCCCUGCUGCCCACCUCUGCCUCUGGUUGCUCCAGUGCCCUGUGCAGCCCCAUCACCUGCACUCUGCUCCCCGCUGGAAAAACAUGCUCGUUUUCAAAGGUGUGUGGCUGAAGCUGUGCUUGAGACAAAUCCGAAUGCUGUCUGCCUGGGGAACCGGAUGGGGCUGAAGGGGAAAAAAAAAGCAGCAAUUAAUGCAGU